CUUAUACUCCCUCCGUCCGGAAAUACUUGUCGAAGAAAUGCAUAAAAAUGAAUGUAUCUAAAACUAAAAUACAUCUAUAUACAUCCAUUUCUCUGACGAGUAUUUCCGAACAGAGGGAGUAUUAU
Molecule: non-coding RNA, 125 nt
Organism: Triticum aestivum (bread wheat)
Lineage: Eukaryota; Viridiplantae; Streptophyta; Magnoliopsida; Poales; Poaceae
Source: Rfam